Molecule: transfer-messenger RNA, 366 nt
Filed under: Helicobacteraceae
Lineage: Bacteria; Pseudomonadati; Campylobacterota; Epsilonproteobacteria; Campylobacterales
Also listed under: 1 other name
Description: Helicobacter_B macacae Standard tmRNA
Rfam family: transfer-messenger RNA
About the family: Bacterial tmRNA, also known as 10Sa RNA or SsrA, is named for its dual tRNA and mRNA-like properties. Its role is to liberate the mRNA from a stalled ribosome. To accomplish this part of the tmRNA is used as a reading frame that ends in a translation stop signal.
Source: RNAcentral
GGGGUCGACUUGGCUUCGACAGGAUUCUCUUCCCUUGAGUGCAUGUCAGCGCGGGAGGCUGUAAAACUCCCACUUGCAAUAAACGCAAACAACACAAAAUUCGCUCCAGCCUACGCAAAAGUCGCGUAAGCUUAACUAAUUUCGAGCCGAUUAUCCUAGCUAUACUAGCUCACUAGUGAUGGUCGUAACUUCUGCUAGUUGCGCUUGCAAUCUCGCUUUAGGAUUUUAAGCAAAGACUUAUAAAGCUUUUUGUGUGAGGGUUUUUAGGUUUAGCCACACAAGAAAUCUAAACCUAUGAAAGCAUGUAGAUUCUCUUGAUUUGGAGGUGAGUUUUGGACUGGGGUUCAACUCCCCACGACUCCACCA